UACAGAGACUGCAGGCGUUAUUCGGAUUCACUGGGCGUAAAGGGUGCGCAGGCGGCCAAGUGUGUGAGGUGUGAAAGCCCGGGGCUUAACCCCGGAAUUGCACCUCAAACUACUUGGCUAGAGCAUUGGAGAGGGUAGCAGAAUUCACGGUGUAGCAGUGAAAUGCGUAGAUAUCGUGAGGAAUACCAGAGGCGAAGGCGGCUACCUGGACAAUUGCUGACGCUCAGGCACGAAAGCGUGGGGAGCAAAAGGG
RNAcentral lists this ribosomal RNA (253 nucleotides) under uncultured bacterium. Its description in RNAcentral is "partial 16S ribosomal RNA". It matches the Rfam family "Bacterial small subunit ribosomal RNA", at positions 524 to 776 of the family's 1533-position model. The record is from RNAcentral.